AUUGUAAUGAAAUUCUGAGGAUUAAACCGUUCCCAUGCCCGACCAAUACAGAACUUGUUAAAAUAGAUGUUGCUCUAGUACCAAACUACUUUAUCCACUGAAAAUUCACUGUAUGUCUGUGUAUUUGUUUUUCAUGUAACCCCCGUUCUGACUCUCAAUUACAAGGCUUUUAGAUAUCCAUUUCAAUUUUAAAAGAAACAUCUAUUUGAGAUUCAUGUGAUCUUUUACUUUAUACUGAUUUAACAUUAUUUUUUUUGCAGAAGAAAAAAAAAGCAAUUUAUUAAUCUGAAAAU
Non-coding RNA from Biomphalaria pfeifferi, 293 nucleotides. The record is from the annotation of a GenBank genome assembly. Lineage: Eukaryota; Metazoa; Mollusca; Gastropoda; Planorbidae.